This is a long non-coding RNA of Bombus impatiens (common eastern bumble bee), 528 nucleotides long. RefSeq lists it as uncharacterized. The transcript has 2 exons. The record is from RefSeq and is a predicted model, not a curated record. Lineage: Eukaryota; Metazoa; Arthropoda; Insecta; Hymenoptera; Apidae.
CAUUAAUCAGACCGAUCAUAACCUACGGCUGCCCAAUCUGGUACAACAUAUCAGCCUCCCAAAUGGAAAAAAUUCACAUAUUCGAAAGAAAAUGCAUCAGGGCUUGCUUGAGUACAUACAGAUCCGAACACAGCGGAUUCAAAAAAUAUGUAAAAAACAAAAUAAUUUACGACCUAGCCAACAUUCACCGCAUAGACUGUCACAUCCUAAAGCUAAUAAGAAACCACUUCGCGCAAGCGGCAAAAAUAAACGAAAAUAGCUUAAUCUUCAAUUGCCUAUUUCCUAACAACGCAUAUUACAAAAACACUCUGACAACAGGCUGCAUCCCCCAGAAGCUUUCCGAUACCUAGACGAAAAAAACUACCUCCAGGACCAAAAUAAUAUUCCAAUAAUCUAUCACAUAAAAAGAAAAAUAGGGAUCAAAACUAUACUCUACGAAGAAAACUUAAAUGGACAGACCGCAGACACUAGGUGGAGAUACAACAUGGCCCUCCCCCUGAAAGACACUAAAGACAAACACAGAAAAAA